This is a microRNA precursor of Oryza rufipogon (brownbeard rice), 205 nucleotides long. It matches the Rfam family "MIR812 microRNA precursor family". NCBI's taxonomy places the organism in Eukaryota, Viridiplantae, Streptophyta, Magnoliopsida, Poales, Poaceae. The record is from Rfam.
UAUAAGUGUAGUUAUGGGUUUCCGUAUCCAAUGUUUAAUCGUCUGUCUUACUUACAAAAUAUAUAUAAUUAGUAUUUUUAUUGUUAUUAGAUGAUAAAAUAUAAAUAGUAAUUAAUAUGUGACUAUUUUUUUAGUAUUUUCAUAAAUUUUUCAAAUAAGACAAACGGUCAAAUAUUGGAUACUGAAACCUACAACUGCACUUAUA